AUUGAACGCUGGCGGCAGGCCUAACACAUGCAAGUCGAACGAGUGGCGGACGGGUGAGUAAUGUCUGGGAAACUGCCCUAUGGAGGGGGAUAACUACUGGAAACUGUAGCUAAUACCGCAUACCAUCGGAUGUGCCCAUAUGGGAUUAGCUAGUGGGUGGGGUAACGGCUCACCUAGUCGACGAUCCCUAGCUGGUCUGAGAGGAUGACCAGCCACACUGGGACUGAGACACGGCACAGACUCCUACGGGAGGCAGCAGUGGGGAAUAUUGCGCAAUGGGCGCAAGCCUGAUGCAGCCAUGCCGCGUGUAUGAAGAAGGCCUUCGGGUUGUAAAGUACUUUCAGCGAGGAGGCGUUAACUGCAGAAGAAGCACCGGCUAACUCCGUGCCAGCAGCCGCGGUAAUAC
Molecule: ribosomal RNA, 406 nt
Filed under: uncultured bacterium
Lineage: Bacteria
Description: partial 16S ribosomal RNA
Rfam family: Bacterial small subunit ribosomal RNA
Source: RNAcentral